This 467-nucleotide ribosomal RNA is filed under the name uncultured bacterium. RNAcentral's name for it is "partial 16S ribosomal RNA". It matches the Rfam family "Bacterial small subunit ribosomal RNA", at positions 28 to 507 of the family's 1533-position model. The record is from RNAcentral.
GAUGAACGCUGGCGGCGUGCUUAACACAUGCAAGUCGAACGGUGAAGCAGAGCUUGCUCUGUGGAUCAGUGGCGAACGGGUGAGUAACACGUGAGCAACCUGCCCCUGACUCUGGGAUAAGCGCUGGAAACGGCGUCUAAUACUGGAAAUGAGCUGCGACCGCAUGGUCAGCAGUUGGAAAGAUUUUUCGGUCUGGGAUGGGCUCACGGCCUAUCAGCUUGUUGGUGAGGUAAUGGCUCACCAAGGCGUCGACGGGUAGCCGGCCUGAGAGGGUGACCGGCCACACUGGGACUGAGACACGGCCCAGACUCCUACGGGAGGCAGCAGUGGGGAAUAUUGCACAAUGGGCGAAAGCCUGAUGCAGCAACGCCGCGUGAGGGAUGACGGCCUUCGGGUUGUAAACCUCUUUUAGCAGGGAGGAAGCGAAAGUGACGGUACCUGCAGAAAAAGCGCCGGCUAACUACGUG